Molecule: non-coding RNA, 114 nt
Filed under: Avocado sunblotch viroid
Lineage: Avsunviroidae
Source: RNAcentral
CUUUCCCUGAAGAGACGAAGUGAUCAAGAGAUUGAAGACGAGUGAACUAAUUUUUUUAUAAAAGUUCACCACGACUCCUCCUUCUCUCACAAGUCGAAACUCAGAGUCGGAAAG